Molecule: ribosomal RNA, 440 nt
Filed under: uncultured bacterium
Lineage: Bacteria
Description: partial 16S ribosomal RNA
Rfam family: Bacterial small subunit ribosomal RNA
Source: RNAcentral
CCUACGGGAGGCAGCAGUAGGGAAUAUUGCUCAAUGGGGGAAACCCUGAAGCAGCAACGCCGCGUGGAGGAUGAAGGUUUUCGGAUUGUAAACUCCUUUUGUUAGAGAAGAGAAUGACGGUAUCUAACGAAUAAGCACCGGCUAACGCCGUGCCAGCAGCCGCGGUAAUACGGAGGGUGCAAGCGUUAUUCGGAAUAACUGGGCGUAAAGGGCGCGUAGGCGGGAUAGCAAGUCAGAUGUGAAAUCCUAUGGCUUAACCGUAGAACUGCAUUUGAAACUGUUAUUCUAGAGUAUGGGAGAGGUAGGUGGAAUUCUUGGUGUAGAGGUGAAAUCCGUAGAGAUCAAGAGGAAUACUCAUUGCGAAGGCGGCCUGCUAGAACGUAACUGACGCUGAUGCGCGAAAGCGUGGGGAGCAAACAGGAUUAGAUACCCGAGUAGUC